UAUUGGUCAAUGGGCUUACGCCUGAACCAGCCAAGUCGCGUGAGGGAAGACUGCCCUAUGGGUUGUAAACUUCUUUUAUAUGGGAAUANAGUGCAGUAUGUAUACUGCUUUGCUUGUACCUUAUGAAUAAGGAUCGACUAACUCCGUGCCAGCAGCCGCGGUAAUACGGAGGAUCCGAGCGUUAUCCGGAUUUAUUGGGUUUAAAGGGAGCGUAGGCGGGUUGUUAAGUCAGUUGUGAAAGUUUGCGGCUCAACCGUAAAAUUGCAGUUGAUACUGGCAUCCUUGAGUACAGUAGAGGUAGGCGGAAUUCGUGGUGUAGCGGUGAAAUGCUUAGAUAUCACGAAGAACUCCGAUUGCGAAGGCAGCCUGCUGGACUGUAACUGACGCUGAUGCUCGAAAGUGUGGGUAUCA
RNAcentral lists this ribosomal RNA (411 nucleotides) under uncultured bacterium. Its description in RNAcentral is "bacterial SSU rRNA". It matches the Rfam family "Bacterial small subunit ribosomal RNA", at positions 362 to 770 of the family's 1533-position model. The record is from RNAcentral.